CAUUCACCUCUGAAGGAACUGGUGCCUACAGUUUGACCCCACUGCUGUCUCUGGAUCCACACGCACCUCGCCCGGCCAUCUAGAUGUGUGAAAGUUAGUGUAUAAGCGAAUGAUCCAUCAUGUAUGACAUUCCUGGGAGCGUGUAAACUUGAAUUCUUUAUUACCAUAGCAAUUUUGUAUGUUCUCUAUAGUUAUGUACUUAAUAAUGUAUCAAUUGACCAUUUAGGAACAUUUGGGCAAACCUCUAGCAGACUCGAUACAAAAUAUUGUGCAGUAAUGUAAUUCUUCACUGGAUCCGUCUGAAACAUUGCACACACACUGCUGCAUCCUAUCUGAAAAUAUGGCCUUUCUCUUGCAUUUCAAAGAUGAUGGAACAAAACAUUUUUUGAAAACGCACGUUUUUUUGUUUGCACAGUAUAAUAUUUUACUGUGAGGACAGACGCUAGGAGACGAGAAGCAAGGUGAUGGAGUCCAGGUAAGCUACUUCCAAAAGACCCACAAGCCUGUGAAGUUCUCUACCCUAGAAGAUCCCUAGAAUUACCUUACAAUCCAGUCUACAUUCUUGUGAAUCAUGAAGUCCUUGGCUCUAGCUUUAAUCCUGUGUGUGCUGCUUCCACUGUUCCAUGCUUAUUGCUACAUGAAGCCUAUGACCUCGAAGCCAGGCAUGAUUACCCAUUGUCGUGAUGACAAGGAUGAGACAUGGCAUCCUAUUGGUUCCCGCUGGAGGAACAGUGAUUGCAUGGACUGCACUUGUAAUUCAUGCUGCUCGGGGUAUGCAACUCCCGUAGAUUUUCCUGGUGAUUGCAUGAAGGAGUGGGACCAAAAGGCAUGUGAAUUCAAGGUGGUUAAGAAGAGUGAUCCCUCCAUUUCAUGCCCUAUCUUCAGCGCUGUGGGGAAGUGAAUUGUUUUCUUCACUGUGUUCUCAAUAUACAAUGAAUAAAAUACGUUAUACAAUGAAUAAAAUAUGUUGUCAGCUUA
Salvelinus namaycush (lake trout) is the source of this 978-nucleotide long non-coding RNA. RefSeq lists it as uncharacterized. NCBI's taxonomy places the organism in Eukaryota, Metazoa, Chordata, Actinopteri, Salmoniformes, Salmonidae. The transcript has 6 exons. The record is from RefSeq and is a predicted model, not a curated record.